This 500-nucleotide ribosomal RNA is filed under the name uncultured bacterium. Its description in RNAcentral is "bacterial SSU rRNA". It matches the Rfam family "Bacterial small subunit ribosomal RNA", at positions 8 to 524 of the family's 1533-position model. The record is from RNAcentral.
AGAGUUUGAUCCUGGCUCAGGACGAACGCUGGCGGCGUGCUUAACACAUGCAAGUCGAACGGUAAGGCCCCUUCGGGGGUACACGAGUGGCGAACGGGUGAGUAACACGUGGGUAAUCUGCCCUGCACUUCGGGAUAAGCCUGGGAAACUGGGUCUAAUACCGGAUAUGAGCUCCUGCCGCAUGGUGGGGGUUGGAAAGUUUUUCGGUGCAGGAUGAGCCCGCGGCCUAUCAGCUUGUUGGUGGGGUAAUGGCCUACCAAGGCGACGACGGGUAGCCGGCCUGAGAGGGUGAUCGGCCACACUGGGACUGAGACACGGCCCAGACUCCUACGGGAGGCAGCAGUGGGGAAUAUUGCACAAUGGGCGGAAGCCUGAUGCAGCGACGCCGCGUGGGGGAUGACGGUCUUCGGAUUGUAAACCCCUUUCAGUAGGGACGAAGCGCAAGUGACGGUACCUGCAGAAGAAGCACCGGCUAACUACGUGCCAGCAGCCGCGGUAAU